This 430-nucleotide ribosomal RNA is filed under the name bacterium. Its description in RNAcentral is "partial 16S ribosomal RNA". It matches the Rfam family "Bacterial small subunit ribosomal RNA", at positions 355 to 776 of the family's 1533-position model. The record is from RNAcentral.
UGGGGAAUAUUGGACAAUGGGCGCAAGCCUGAUCCAGCCAUGCCGCGUGUGUGAAGAAGGCCUUUUGGUUGUAAAGCACUUUAAGCGAGGAGGAGGCUACUUGGAUUAAUACUCUAGGAUAGUGGACGUUACUCGCAGAAUAAGCACCGGCUAACUCUGUGCCAGCAGCCGCGGUAAUACAGAGGGUGCGAGCGUUAAUCGGAUUUACUGGGCGUAAAGCGUGCGUAGGCGGCUUCUUAAGUCGGAUGUGAAAUCCCUGAGCUUAACUUAGGAAUUGCAUUCGAUACUGGGAAGCUAGAGUAUGGGAGAGGAUGGUAGAAUUCCAGGUGUAGCGGUGAAAUGCGUAGAGAUCUGGAGGAAUACCGAUGGAGAAGGCAGCCAUCUGGCCUAAUACUGACGCUGAGGUACGAAAGCAUGGGGAGCAAACAGG